CAGCAGCCGCGGGAAUACAGAGGGUGCGAGCGUUAAUCGGAUUUACUGGGCGUAAAGCGUGCGUAGGCGGCUUUUUAAGUCGGAUGUGAAAUCCCUGAGCUUAACUUAGGAAUUGCAUUCGAUACUGGGAAGCUAGAGUAUGGGAGAGCAUGGUAGAAUUCCAGGUGUAGCGGUGAAAUGCGUAGAGAUCUGGAGGAAUACCGAUGGCGAAGGCAGCCAUCUGGCCUAAUACUGACGCUGAGGUACGAAAGCAUGGGGAGCAAACAGGAUUAGAUACCCCUGUAGUCCCUGUCUCUUAUAA
RNAcentral lists this ribosomal RNA (301 nucleotides) under uncultured bacterium. RNAcentral's name for it is "partial 16S ribosomal RNA". It matches the Rfam family "Bacterial small subunit ribosomal RNA", at positions 509 to 809 of the family's 1533-position model. The record is from RNAcentral.